This 500-nucleotide ribosomal RNA is filed under the name uncultured bacterium. Its description in RNAcentral is "partial 16S ribosomal RNA". It matches the Rfam family "Bacterial small subunit ribosomal RNA", at positions 30 to 523 of the family's 1533-position model. The record is from RNAcentral.
AUUGAACGCUGGCGGCAUGCUUUACACAUGCAAGUCGAACGGUAACAGGGUGCUUGCACCGCUGACGAGUGGCGAACGGGUGAGUAAUGCGUCGGAACGUGCCGAGUAGUGGGGGAUAACGCAGCGAAAGUUGUGCUAAUACCGCAUACGUACUGAGGUAGAAAGUGGGGGACCUUCGGGCCUCACGCUAUUCGAGCGGCCGACGUCUGAUUAGCUAGUAGGUGAGGUAAAGGCUCACCUAGGCGACGAUCAGUAGCGGGUCUGAGAGGAUGAUCCGCCACACGGGGACGGAGACACGGCCCAGACUCCUACGGGAGGAAGCAGUGGGGAAUUUUGGACAAUGGGCGAAAGCCUGAUCCAGCCAUGCCGCGUGUCUGAAGAAGGCCUUCGGGUUGUAAAGGACUUUUGUCAGGGAGGAAAUCCCUAGUGCUAAUAACACUGGGGGAUGACAGUACCUGAAGAAUAAGCACCGGCUAACUACGUGCCAGCAGCCGCCGUAA